UUUGGUGGCGAUAGCGAAGAGGUCACACCCGUUCCCAUACCGAACACGGAAGUUAAGCUCUUCAGCGCCGAUGGUAGUCGGGGGUUUCCCCCUGUGAGAGUAGGACG
RNAcentral lists this ribosomal RNA (107 nucleotides) under Bacillus subtilis. Lineage: Bacteria; Bacillati; Bacillota; Bacilli; Caryophanales; Bacillaceae. The record is from RNAcentral. RNAcentral also lists the same sequence under 3 other names.